UUUAGGCCACGGAGCUGCGUAGAUCCGGAACCCUGGGCGACUGAUCUGUCCCCAUUGGGCGAGACCUACCUAGACAAAGGCCUUAACAUACCGACAAAGGCCUUAAGGGGCCUGGGAGGAAGUCGUACAAAAUAAAUGUCUUCUGGAGAUGAUUUUUGGAAAUGGAGUUAUUAGACAGCCCCUGGAAGCGAUACAUCCACGUUUGUUCAGUGGGUUAGAUGACAUGGAGCUGGAAGACCUGAGAAGGAAGAGAAGAAGGUUCUAUGACAGACUGGUCAUAUUUAGAAGACACUUUCAUAUUCUAUCCAUAGUUUUGUAUGCAUUUUAUUCCUCACUACCUUAUAUAUAGUUGACAAUGCUAAGCUUUUUUGAAAUGUCUGUUUUUUUAGAUGUUCUGAAGUGCCUGAUAUAUGUUAAAAUUAAAGGUAAUAAAAACACAUUUUGUAAGU
This 449-nucleotide long non-coding RNA is filed under the name Homo sapiens (human). RNAcentral's name for it is "long independently transcribed non-coding RNA 3094 (LINC03094)". Lineage: Eukaryota; Metazoa; Chordata; Mammalia; Primates; Hominidae. The record is from RNAcentral.